This 111-nucleotide ribosomal RNA is filed under the name Lederbergia ruris. Lineage: Bacteria; Bacillati; Bacillota; Bacilli; Caryophanales; Bacillaceae. The record is from RNAcentral.
UGGUGGCAAUAGCGAAGAGGUCACACCCGUUCCCAUCCCGAACACGGUAGUUAAGCUCUUCAGCGCCGAUGGUAAUAAGGGGCUUCCCCUUGUGAGAGUAGGACGUUGCCA